This 1068-nucleotide long non-coding RNA is filed under the name Gallus gallus (chicken). RNAcentral's name for it is "lncRNA (ENSGALG00010008968.1)". Lineage: Eukaryota; Metazoa; Chordata; Aves; Galliformes; Phasianidae. The record is from RNAcentral.
GGGAAGACUGGGUUUUGCAAUACACAUAGAUCACCUGUUACAUCCGAUACCCUACCUUUAUUCUAUUCUUUGUCCUACAUUUCCCUGGACUUGGGGAAGUCAGCCAGUACUAUCCUGGCCCCAUUCAUUUCCUGAAUACAUUUCAUUACUGCGCUUAACCACAGUUGAAAGGGUUAAGCCUCUUAGAAUUAGAAUUUGGUCCCAUAUGCCCAACGUAGGCCAAUGUAGGCAUGGGACCAUUACCAGUUAGUGAAUGUGAUAGGGUCAGCAUAAGCAAUUACAAAUAUUAAUCUGAAGAAGAUGCCUGUCCAAAACAGUGACACUGUUGAUGAUACCACAAUGGAUACCACAGGGAUCUCAGGAAAAGGAGCAGGGUGAGAAGGGAACUUGCGAGUCACAGCAUCAGGGUCAGCAUUCAUUAGCAUAUGGAAAACAAAAGAGAGAGAACUUCCUGGUUCCAGAGGAACAAAGGUUAUAGGAGGCAUAGCUGAAAAAGAAAAAAAACAAAACUUUCUAGUCCCAAAUGAACCAAGGUCAAAAGAUCUCUGUUCAGAUGGAUGAUGAUUUGAGCCAAUACCCUCCACUCUGUCAGCUGUCUGCAGUCUCCCUGCUGUAGUUACAGGACUUGACUCAAGGACAGGAUGAACCGAGUGAAUUUUGCUGAAGUAUUUAGUUGUCAGGAACGAAUGGAAAAUACAUCUGGCAAGCCACAGGAAAGACUCAAACCUCUGUGGAGCUUUCUGUAAAUUUAUCUUAAGCAGUGCUCAAAAUAGAAUUCAAUAAAAGCAGUUCAAUCCCUCAUUUCAUCUAUGUAUGUUUGCACAACUAAAUGAAAAUGGUAAGAUGAAAUACUGACAGUGGUCACUAUCAACAGCUGGAGGUCAAUAAAGAAGAAGCUUUUGGAAAUUCUAUCAAGAAAUGAAAACCAGGAAUAUAUAAAUACUGCCAGGAAAUAUCUUACUGAGCUGCUACACAAUACAGAAAUCUCUGCAAUGCAAUUUCAGUUCAGGUCACUUCCUAUUCUACAUACUUCUCUAUUGUUUACUUUUCUGAAACAUAAUAUAUCUG